GCGCGAAAACUCCGCAAUGCGCGAAAGCGUGACGGGGGGACCCCAAGUGCCGCUGAUCUUAGAUCGGCGGCUUUUCAGGAGCUUAAGGGACUCCUGGAAUAAGGGCUGGGUAAGUCUGGUGCCAGCCGCCGCGGUAACACCAGCAGCCCAAGUGGUGGUCGCGUUUAUUGGGCCUAAAGCGCUCGUAGCCGGGCCAGUAAGUCCCUUGUGAAAUCGGACGGCUUAACCGUUCGGCUUGCAAGGGAUACUAUUGGCAUUGGGGCCGGGAGAGGUUGGAGGUACUUCGAGGGUAGCGGUGAAAUGCUGUAAUCCUCGGGGGACCACCAGUGGCGAAGGCGUCCAACUAGAACGGACCCGACGGUGAGGGGCGAAAGCUGGGGGAGCGAACGGGAUUAGAUACCCCGGUAGUCCCAGCUGUAAAGCAUGCGGGCCGGGUGUCAGGCGCCCUUCGAGGGUGCCUAGUGCCGUAGGGAAGCCGUUAAGCCCGCCGCCUGGGAAGUACGGUCGCAAGGCUGAAACUUAAAGAAAUUGGCGGGGGAGUACCACAAGGGGUGGAGCCUGCGGUUUAAUUGGAUUCAACGCCGGACAACUCACCGGGGGCGACAGUUGGUUGAAGGCCAGGUUGACGACCUUGCCGGACUAGCU
Molecule: ribosomal RNA, 645 nt
Filed under: uncultured archaeon
Lineage: Archaea
Description: bacterial SSU rRNA
Rfam family: Archaeal small subunit ribosomal RNA
Source: RNAcentral